Long non-coding RNA from Lemur catta (Ring-tailed lemur), 4858 nucleotides. RefSeq lists it as uncharacterized. The transcript has 3 exons. Lineage: Eukaryota; Metazoa; Chordata; Mammalia; Primates; Lemuridae. The record is from RefSeq and is a predicted model, not a curated record.
UCCCGUCUGCGGAGACGGCGCCCGGCGGCCGCCGCCCCGCUCGCGACGACCUGGGGUCCAGCCUGCAUCCGGCCGACGGGGGGCAGAGGCCUUUCCAUUUGCGCAGGAAGAGGAAAUUUGGACACAUAUCUAUAGAGGCAAGAGGACGUGAAGACAUGGGAAGACAGCCAUCUGCAAGCUAAGGAGAGACACCUCAGGAGACAUCAACCCUGCUGAAUUUGAUCUUGGACUUCUAGCCUCCAGAACUAUGAUGGUAAGACCAUUCUAAGCAGAGGGAAGAGAAUAUGUAAAACAAGUAACCAUCAGAGAUCACGAGUUUACUUGGGAAACUGUGAGUAGUUCAGCAUGACCAGAUCACUGGUCAUGCAAUAGGGAAGGGAGAUGGGGAAUUUGGGGGAAUGACGCUAGAGAGAUUGAAAGAGACCAGAAUCUGAGGUUUCAUGUGCUGAAUUAAACGGUGGAAAUUAAGGGGUAAAGAUACAGAAUUAAAGAAGACCUCCUACAUUGCGGUUAGUUCUCUCCAGUCAAAGUUAAUCAUUGGUGUACAACUCUUGGGACUCUGUCUCAUCCAGUUUCCCAUGUUAAUAACUAGUAGUAUUUCAAGAUGACAAUUACCAGUUGUCCAAGAGAUAGAGAAGUAUUUUUAAAAAGCUACAUUAAUCCUUUCCUCUCACAAGAUGUUUAUCCCCCUCAACAAGCUAAAUAUUUCUCUACUUAAUUUCAUGUCAAUAUUUUUUACUCCAUUCCCUUAUCCCAAGCUUCAAUGAUUUCUUCUCUCCAGUGUUUAUGUUUCAAAAAUAUCUGGAAUUUGUUACAGCAAGCGUGUGAGGUUGAUGCUUAUAUAAGCUGGAUUUAGGUAGAAUAUCAUUAUAGUCAUAUGCCCCACACAAUUUUUUGGUCAGUCAUGGACCACAUAUGCUAUGGUGGUUCCUUAAGUUUAUAAUACUGUAUUUUUACUGUACCUUUUCUACGUUUAGAUAUGUUUAGACACACAAAUACUUACUAUUGUGUUACAAUUCCUACAGUAUUCAGUACAGUAACUUGCCAUAUAGGUUUGUAGACUAAGAGUAAUAGGCCAUACCAUAUAGACUUGGUGUGCAGUUUGUGUAAAUACAAUGUUCGCACAACAACAAAAUCACCUAAUGAUGUAUUUCUCAAAAUGUGUACCCAUCGCUAAGCGAUGCAUAACUGUACUUUUUAAAGCCAAUAUCUCUUUUUCUCAAGUCUUAAUAUUUAUUUUGCUUGUUUUUAAUUACUGUUAACUUACCAAAAAUCUAAGGUACAGAUAGUUUAUCUUUGUUUUCCUUUCUGUCGUCUCCCCUAUUAUCUUUUAAUCCUUGACUCUCCCAUGGAUAGAAUAGAAUUAAUUGUUAUUCUGCAAUAAAAUAAGUUGUAAGUUUUAUACAAGCUGUGGCCAUGAUUGGCUUGUUCAUCAAUACGUUCAUCAAUAUGUUCCCAGUCCCUGAUAUAUGCCUGACACAUGGUUGAUCAUAAAUUUAUUUUAAAAGAAAAAUAAAAUUUGUUCAAUGUCUAUUUGCAUUCAGCUAUCUAUCAACAAGUCUUUAUGAGACAGUUGUUCUUAAAUUGGAGCAGUACUUCAGAACCCCCUGGGGAGCUUUUUCAAUAUACACAUGUGAUAGUGCUACCUCAGACAUACUGAAUCUGGGUUUAGGGGAUGGGCUGAUGGAGAGAUGUGGGCAUAAGUAUGGUGAAAAAGUUUCUAAUAUGAUUUUAAUAUCCAUCACUAGCUAAUAAGGACAAAAGUUAUUAUUUGUUUCAUUGCAGUUAAAUUCCUCCUCACCUGAGGCAAAGGAUGAAGAAAUUUGUUAGGUAGUGAGAGAAAUGUUUUGGAGUAGGGGAUUUUGCCUAGAACCUCGCAACACAUUCUUUAGCUGUUUGUAGUCAUAAGGCUGAGAUCAGUAUGCCCUGUAUUCUUAUCUUAAAAGGGUGGCUCCGGAAGGGUGAAAAGACCAAUGAUGUAGAAUCAAAAUCCCAGGACAUUAUUUUUCAUUUUCAUGUUUAUUAGGUCUGAGAUCUCAAGGAAAGUAUCUGAAAUCUCUGAGCUUCAGGAGUUCCCUCACCUAUAAAAUGAAAAUAAUAAUAUCUAUUUGAAAACCUAAGUAAAUAUGAGCAUUUGAAAAAUGAAUUGUUCUGAUUAACUUUGGUAUUUGAAGAGUACUACUUACCACUCUGACCUUUAAGGUGUGUGUUUUGCUUUAAAGGUGUAAACCAAGUGAUUACUCAUAGAAGAAAAGAGAAGCAAAUUUUCUAGUAGGUGACUUCCAGAGUCAGCUGUCCUCAUAACUAAAAUUACUGCUAACUGAUAAUCUCUUCCUGUAGCUCAAACCAAUGAUGCAGCUGCAAUGGCUUUUGGCGUUGACUUUCUUAACUGCUCCUGGAGGACACAGCAGGUCUCUCUGCUGUGUCUUUUAAGCCUCAUGGUAUUAGCAAGUUGAUGGUUUUUCAUCACUAGAGAUUUUUGCCCUCUGUCUUUGUCAGGGAACUUUUCAUUUCAAACAACCAAAACUGCUUUAGCUAGUUUGCUCUAAACAUGAGGAAAUGAAAAAGAUUACAGUGAAUAUCAUGAGGCUCAAGGGAAAAGAAGUGCUAUUGGGCCUCAUAAAGGUCUUGGAUCAAGAGCUGGAAAGACACAGGAGCUGAGACAUACCAGAAAGCACCAACCAAGUCUUACAGAUGUGGGCGCUUUGCAAUGAUCAACUCUUGUUUAACAUAGGGAAUAUGAAACAUUGAAGGGCAGAGAAGAUCUGUAAAAAGCAGGGAGGACAUAUACGGCCUUGAGUAUUUGGCUGUCUUAGCUAUAAACAUUAAUAUGCUUUAAAAUCUUAUUUUAAAAUUUACUUUGAAUUUUUUGUUUGUUUUAAAAUCAAUAUGAGUGCUUAACUUAAAUUUUGGACAAGAGGAAAAAAUAAACAAAAUCCUCCAUAUUCCUAUCAUCUGAGCACAAUAACUAUCUUUUGGAGUGUUUUCUUAUGACUUUUUCACUCACAAACACACAAAUGACGGCAAGUAAACCUUGAUGAGGGCUUGGAGUUGAGGCAGCCGCAAUUCCUCCCUUACGAAGGCCCAAGUCUUCGGAAUCCAUUGUGACAUUCAAGGGAAGGUGCUAGAAUUUAAACUUGAACUUUCCUUCUGAGAGUGUCCUGAUCUACCAGUGAAGAAAGUCAUUCAGGUUUGGCUGGUGUGAAUUCUUAUGGAGGCUAAAGGCAAUGGUUGCCUAGGCCCCCAAUGUGGAAAGGGUGCCAGCCUACUAGGGCGACUACUCCUGGAUCCCAGAAGGUGAUGGGAAGUACCAGAGAGUGGCCACAGGGCAGCUGGUAGUGGCAUUUCCCAGGACCUUAGAGAAAUGCACAGGAAAAACUGUGCUACUAUUACAUAAGCUAUUAAAAAUCAAACAGAAAAGCUGAAAUAAAAAUGGUAAAUUUAACAGGCCCAGUAUAUGAUAAAAGUUAAAAAAAAAAAAGAGAGAUAUGGCAAGAAGAAAAUUAUCAAAACCAUAAGAAAACAUCUCAAAUUAGAAGAAGACAGACACAGGUAUUAAGAUAGAAAGAACACAUAGAAUUCAAAAGAGGAUAUAAGAAAAAACAAAUGACCCACACCUACACAUAUUUUCAUGAGAUUCAGAACUCCCGGGAAGAAAAGACAAUCUCAAUCAAUGUCACUAGUUUUCUUAAAAUAUAGCUCUACACCACCCCGGAAAUUCAGGUCACCAAAAAUAAUUUAUUUAAGUUCUAGUAACAGAUGGGAAAAAAAAUCAAAAGACAUUUUACAAAAUCUUUGCUUUUUAUUCUGUAUGGUAAGAGAUUAUUUAUGCUUAUUCCUCUGUAACAUAACAGAUGAACUUCCCAGUUCCAGUGUAGGACUCUGGUCCCUGGUUCUGGAGGGAGGGAACAGAGGAGAUCUCAUUGGAAAAUUAUUGUGUUUCUCUGUUGUAAUCUAUCUGAGACUACCUGAAGGACUGUCGCAAGGUGUUCGUCUCUGCUCUGCUUAAUUUGGAACUCGCUUAGGACAGACAUGUGGUGGGCAUUGAUCACAGACAUUCCAAAGUAAAGGAACAACCCACAGCCACCGGGGCUAGAGAUUAUGGCUAAAACAUUAAAGAGACUGCCUGAAGUCUGAGAAGAAAAGCUAGAGAGAGUUGUUUUUGUUUUUGGAAAUAAGGCCAUUGAAAAGCAUCCAUGUAUACUGGGGAAUUUGGAAAGUCAUGAAUCUGCCCAGGGCACAGGUUACAUGCUCAGAGAAGAUCUUAAAGACUCUAAGCUUUUAGCUCUGGCUAAUCUCUAGGUUCGGCACAAGCAGGAAGAGAAGUCUAGGUUUGGGAGAGAAUCUUUUUUUUUAAGCACCUGGCAUUCAGGAAGAUCUCUGCCAAAACACCAGUGAAACACAAGCUGAAGGAACAGAUGUAUCAGUGACAACAUGCAGAAAAGGAAAAUCCAAUCCUUAUAUUCAUAUGGGAUUGAGGGACCCUGAGUAGCCAAAACAAUUUUAGGAAAAAGAACAAAGCUGGGGAGUCACACUUCCCAAUCUUAAAACUUAUUGCAAAGCUAUUAACAGAAUUAUCAAAGUAGUGGGAUACCAGUGUAAAAGUAGAUGUAUAGACCAAUGGAAUAGAAUUGAGAGCUCGGAAAUAAACCUAUAUAUCUAUAGCCAAAUGAUUUUUAACAAGGCUGCCAAGACCAUUCAAUGGGGAAAGAUACCACAUAGUGCUCAGACAAGUGGAUAUCCACGUGGGAAAGAAUAAGGUUGGACCCCUACCUUACGCCAUGAACAAAAAUUAACUCUAAAUGUGUCAAUAACCUAAAUGUAAGAGAUAAAACCAUAAAACUCUAGGAGGAAAACA